RNAcentral lists this non-coding RNA (45 nucleotides) under Schistosoma curassoni. The record is from RNAcentral. Lineage: Eukaryota; Metazoa; Platyhelminthes; Trematoda; Strigeidida; Schistosomatidae.
AUCCAGCCAACGAGUCCCAACUAGGGAGAAACGCGCGUCCUGGAU